UCGCGCUUCCGCUCAGCUUGAAGCCCGCUUCUGUAUCUAUCCCAUGUGUCGAGGCUCCCUUAUGCUUCUUCUUCCUCUUUUCUCUGGUCCAAAAUUUGCUUACAUUGUCUCAUUUUCUCAGCAGGCGAGGCAAGGGCAAGGAUUCAGAAAAGGGGUUUUUGCUUUCUAUUGCACUCUUUUUUUCCUUGGGGCAUCUUUGCCUGCAGCAGCAGUUGAGAAGAAACCCAACGCGGAAGCGAUGGAGCCUGCCAUAAAAACCAGACGUUUUGCCGGAAGUUGAACCACGACUCCCAGACGUUUUGCCGGAAGUUGAACCACGACUCCUGAGUAGGAGUUGUAGCAGAAAACAGAAGGCGAACCUUCUGUCUUCAGGCGCACCAGAGUGCGGCUGUAGCUAUAUCUUUGUGCUUCUUUGUUUCCUUUUGACCUAGAGAGGCAAGCCUUGAUUCGGAUUUGAUAUGUUCAGCGGACGGAGGCUAGAAGCCUUCUUUCCUGUUUAUCGAGAGAGAGAGAAAGAGAGAGAGGGAGAGAGAAAAAUCUUUGAUGAACUUCAUGGUAUAUAGCUAUAGUAACUUAAAUGUCACAGCACGUGUAAGAGGAAAUCAUUCCCGACUAUUAGACGGCCUUAAUGGUACAACAAGUACGUGCUUCCGUUAACUCCUCUUUGUUUCUUCCUUUUCUCGAGUUGCACGUCGUUUUAUUUUUCCAGUAAUUCAACACACACGAGAGAGAGAGUAAGAGCUGCGGAUUGUUUAAUGGAGGCAACUGUCACUUUUGCUAUUGCUUCUAUUACUGGAGGCUUAUGAGUUAUUACCCCAGGAAGCUGCAAGGUAGGAGCAGACUCCCAAAUAUGAUACGCUUGUUAUUGGCAGGUUUUGUGUGUGUGUGUGUGUUUUUUUUACAGCAUUCCUGUUUUUUAAUGAUCAACUUCAUUAACGUAAGGAUAUGAAUCCAAUUCAACAGAUAGCCUCUUCAAGAGAUGGGCACCAGUGAAAUUCUAUAGUUGGAGGAUAUGCCUUACUACCUUCGUUUGAUUUCCACUUUGCCUUACUACCUUCGAUUAAUAUGAAAAUGAUUUUCAAUGCUACCAAAAUAUUCAUCAAUAUAUAUUCAUUCUCGAGCACCCGUUUACUGUAAGAAAAGGUCAACCAACAAUUUUUCACAGACUCCGCAAGCAUUAUUAAUCAUGUUACAUGUUUUUCAAUUGGUUUAUUUAAACAGGGAACGCUUCCAUCAUUAAUGUUCUUUUCAGCUAUCAAGAGUUGAUCCAGAGAUGGAAAAAAUCACUUGGGCCUCCAGGAUCUUGUGAGCUGUAUACGAGGAGUUUCAUAAUCUUACAGCAUAUAUCAUUUCCAUUGCAGCCUUUGGAAGUAAUUAUGAAGAAGAGAAGGACAUGUUUCAGCUGUAGAAGGAAGCAGAAGACUUUUUCAUGCAAUUCGAACACUUAUUGUCCCAGAUUCAGAUCAGAAGAGUUUUUUUUCUUUUUUUCUUUUUUGUAAAUUUAAAUACGCAUCAAAAAGACAAAAAGAUGAAAGCAGAAGUUCACUUGCACUUUUUGCCUUCACAAAGAUGGCCUCUUCUUGACAUGAAUAUGACAUAUAAUCUUCUAAGGUAUCUUUUCACUUUUCAGGCAUUCUUUGUUCAUGUGGUUGGCAUUUAUGCAACUUGGUAGUUUUAACCUUUAACUCAUGUGCUGUGUAAUGCAUGCUAUGACUUGUUUCAAGAAAGUGGUCAUCUUUGAAGAUCAUUUUAUUAAUGGUCAAAUUAUAGGGAAAGAAAUAUAUGAUAGUGAAAGGACACAAAAUAUUUGAGUACCUUCAAUUGACAUGUAUGGUAUGUUUUGGUGAUAAAAAUAUCGUCAAAGACUUUAGUGUAUCUUAGUUGUUUCGCAUGCAAAGUGCAGACACGAAGGCUGCUGGUGAUCUCAAAGCUGGAAGAAUGCCAGUUUACAGAUUUUUCUAGCUAUCAGGUGGAUUUUCUGAUAUUUUUCUGGAAAUAUUUUCCAUUUUAACAUCAACAUGAGAACUUGUGCUUCUAGAUAUUCUACUGUUAUGGUUAUUGGUGUCUCUGUCCAUUACCGGAUAGGAAGUACAAUCCAUAACCUGCUUCCACAGCUCUUGAUGUGGUUUUGGGUGGUUUGUGGUACUAUCUGAUCCUUUAUUUUUAUUCGAGGUACUGCUUGGUCUUGUUCAUUGUCACCCUUUUUUGUUAGUUGUUCACAAUUUACUAACGCUCUGUUGUUUGAAAUGGAAUUUUAAAGUGCAACCAUAAUUCUAGGAGUUUGUGGUUGAUUCCUACUAGAGAUGACAAAAGAUAGUUGCACAAAUGGCAUUGCCUUAAGCUUUUAGAAAAUAAAAUGUUGUGACAUGUCCUAUUAACUACAUUAUGCUGUUUUGUUUCACCAUUGAGUCAUUCGCUUAAUCAUUCCCUGAACAAUCAAAUGAAUAAUUGAUUUAGUAGUUCCUGAUUUGAUGGUUGAAGAAAGGACAAACUUUGUAUAAUCUUGAUGUUCUGCGGGUAUUGGACGCUGCAAAUCUUCUAGCACAAAUUCAUGGCUCUUUAUCACUGAACUCCAGAUGCAUUGGAUGAUAGUUUUGUGCAUGGUGUUAUCGCUUGCAGUUAUGUUGAGUCUUUGUGAAGCUCUGUCAAGUUGAUUAGUGGUGUUAAGCCCAAAUUCAAUUUGGGGAGUUGGGCUACUGGAGCCAGAAUAAAGUUUUCAGAUUCUGACGAUUUUAUAUCUGGUACCUCUAAAAGAGGAAGAAGAGAGACAGCUGAGGUGAGAUGAGUGGAUUGGAGAAAAUGGAGGAAGGUCUUGCUAUGUGGAGGGCGACCAUUACAAGAGCUAUUCUGGCAACAUUACUGAGGAGCACACUUCAAGGACUUUGUGCAGCAUAUCUUAAGGUAUUUGUAGCAUAAAACAAUCUUCUGGUAUGAGACCUAUGAAGCACGAGAUACUGUCUUAUCAUUGGUAACAUCGAAUUUUUGUGGAUAAAUUUUUUGUCUAA
This is a long non-coding RNA of Nymphaea colorata (pocket water lily), 3005 nucleotides long. RefSeq lists it as uncharacterized. The transcript has 3 exons. NCBI's taxonomy places the organism in Eukaryota, Viridiplantae, Streptophyta, Magnoliopsida, Nymphaeales, Nymphaeaceae. The record is from RefSeq and is a predicted model, not a curated record.